This 544-nucleotide ribosomal RNA is filed under the name uncultured Eimeria. Its description in RNAcentral is "SSU rRNA". It matches the Rfam family "Eukaryotic small subunit ribosomal RNA", at positions 465 to 1021 of the family's 1831-position model. The record is from RNAcentral. Lineage: Eukaryota; Apicomplexa; Conoidasida; Eucoccidiorida; Eimeriidae.
UAGUGACGAGAAAUAACAAUACAGGGCAUUUCAUGUCUUGUAAUUGGAAUGACUUAAAUUCAAACCCCUUUCGGAGUAACAAUUGGAGGGCAAGUCUGGUGCCAGCAGCCGCGGUAAUUCCAGCUCCAAUAGCGUAUAUUAGAGUUGUUGCAGUUAAAAAGCUCGUAGUUGGAUUUCUGUUGGGGGCAGCUCGUCCGCCUUUUGGUGUGCAUGAGUCAUCCCUAGCAUUUUUCUGGUUCCCCUUUGCACUUUAUUGUGCUUUGGUUCUCCAGAACUUUUACUUUGAGAAAAAUAGAGUGUUUCAAGCAGGCUUUUGCCUUGAAUACUGCAGCAUGGAAUAAUAAGAUAGGACUUUGGCCCUAUUUUGUUGGUUCUAGGACUAAAGUAAUGAUUAAUAGGGACAGUUGGGGGCAUUCGUAUUUAACUGUCAGAGGUGAAAUUCUUAGAUUUGUUAAAGACGAACUACUGCGAAAGCAUUUGCCAAGGAUGUUUUCAUUAAUCAAGAACGACAGUAGGGGGUUUGAAGACGAUUAGAUACCGUCGU